UCUCCUGGAAACGGGUGGUAAUGCCGGAUGCUCCAGUCCAUCGCAUGGUGGUCUGGGAAAGAUUCUAUCGGUAUGGGAUGGGGUCGCGUCCUAUCAGCUUGAUGGCGGGGUAACGGCCCACCAUGGCCUCGACGGGUAGCCGGCCUGAGAGGGCGACCGGCCACAUUGGGACUGAGAUACGGCCCAGACUCCUACGGGAGGCAGCAGUGGGGAAUAUUGCACAAUGGGCGCAAGCCUGAUGCAGCGACGCCGCGUGCGGGAUGGAGGCCUUCGGGUUGUAAACCGCUUUUGAUCGGGAGCAAGCCCUUCGGGGUGAGUGUACCCUUCGAAUAAGCACCGGCUAACUACGUGCCAGCAGCCGCGGUAAUACGUAGGGUGCAAGCGUUAUCCGGAAUUAUUGGGCGUAAAGGGCUCGUAGGCGGUUCGUCGCGUCCGGUGUGAAAGCCCAUCGCUUAACGGUGGGUCUGCGCCGGGUACGGGCGGGCUGGAGUGCGGUAGGGGAGACUGGAAUUCCCGGUGUAACGGUGGAAUGUGUAGAUAUCGGGAAGAACACCA
RNAcentral lists this ribosomal RNA (555 nucleotides) under Bifidobacterium dentium. Its description in RNAcentral is "bacterial SSU rRNA". It matches the Rfam family "Bacterial small subunit ribosomal RNA", at positions 146 to 711 of the family's 1533-position model. Lineage: Bacteria; Bacillati; Actinomycetota; Actinomycetes; Bifidobacteriales; Bifidobacteriaceae. The record is from RNAcentral.